AUGGGCUUUCAGCCUGGGCCGAGGAAUAAUUCCGUCUCUUUCUUCUCCCACUUCUCUUCCUGUCCUAUCGUCUCCUCUCCCAAUUGCCAGAGUCCGAAUCUCUCGUGCUCCCGGAGGCCGGAGCACGCAGGAGAUCGAAUUCGCCGCGCCGGCUCGCCGGAGACGACAGACCCCCACAGAGUGGUGGUGCGUAUAAUGAACAAAGGCAGCAUCCACAAAAAGGAGACGCACGGAACAAGCGACGACAUAAGCGAGAACACGCCUGUGGAGAAGGUCAGGGGCCCCAAUCUGUUUGAACGGACCAAGGAAGAGAUCGAGGCUCUUGUGGCGGCUGUUCACGAUAAGAUGGAGCACCAUUCCAGUCCCCGCGGGAAGGAGGGUGAAUUGCACAAGGAUUCCAAGGAACACAGCAAGGCAGACAUGCAUAAGAAGACCCACGAGAACGAAACUCAUGGUACAAGCAAUGAUAUAAGUGAGGACACGCCGGUCAGCAAAGUCAAAGGCCCGGGCGUGUUUGAACGUGCCAAGGAAGAGAUCGAAGCUAUCGUUGAGGCCAUCCAUCCGAAGAAAGAAUCCGACAAGUGA
RNAcentral lists this ribosomal RNA (585 nucleotides) under Triticum aestivum (bread wheat). Its description in RNAcentral is "partial small subunit ribosomal RNA". The record is from RNAcentral. Lineage: Eukaryota; Viridiplantae; Streptophyta; Magnoliopsida; Poales; Poaceae.